This 88-nucleotide transfer RNA is filed under the name Hadarchaeum yellowstonense (SeqCode). Its description in RNAcentral is "tRNA-Leu". It matches the Rfam family "tRNA". From Rfam's summary of the family: Transfer RNA (tRNA) molecules are approximately 80 nucleotides in length. Their secondary structure includes four short double-helical elements and three loops (D, anti-codon, and T loops). Further hydrogen bonds mediate the characteristic L-shaped molecular structure. tRNAs have two regions of fundamental functional importance: the anti-codon, which is responsible for specific mRNA codon recognition, and the 3' end, to which the tRNAs corresponding amino acid is attached (by aminoacyl-tRNA synthetases). tRNAs cope with the degeneracy of the genetic code in two manners: having more than one tRNA (with a specific anti-codon) for a particular amino acid; and 'wobble' base-pairing, i.e. permitting non-standard base-pairing at the 3rd anti-codon position. RNAcentral also lists the same sequence under 2 other names. Lineage: Archaea; Methanobacteriati; Hadarchaeota (SeqCode); Hadarchaeia (SeqCode); Hadarchaeales (SeqCode); Hadarchaeaceae (SeqCode). The record is from RNAcentral.
GCAGGGGUAUCCGAGCCAGGUCUAAGGAGCAGGGCUUAGAACCCUGUGGCUAAGGCCUUCGUGGGUUCAAAUCCCACCCCCUGCACCA